CCUACGGGUGGCUGCAGUGGGGAAUAUUGCGCAAUGGGCGAAAGCCUGACGCAGCGACGCCGCGUGAGGGAUGAAGGUCUUCUGAUCGUAAACCUCUGUCAGUAGGGAAGAACGGUCACUGUGCUAAUCAGCAGUGCAUUGACGGUACCUGCAAAGGAAGCACCGGCUCACUCCGUGCCAGCAGCCGCGGUAAUACGGAGGGUGCGAGCGUUAAUCGGAAUUAUUGGGCGUAAAGCGCUCGUAGGCGGUAUGUCAAGUCAAGGGUGAAACCCCCGCGCUCAACGUGGGAACUGCCUUUGAAACUGGCAGACUGGAGUGUGUGAGAGGGUAGUGGAAUUCGAGGUGUAGGAGUGAAAUCCGUAGAUAUCUGGAAGAACAUCAGUGGCGAAGGCGACUAUCUGGAACGUAACUGACGCUGAGGAGCGAAAGCGUGGGUAGCAAACAGGAUUAGAUACCCGAGUAGUC
RNAcentral lists this ribosomal RNA (465 nucleotides) under uncultured bacterium. Its description in RNAcentral is "partial 16S ribosomal RNA". It matches the Rfam family "Bacterial small subunit ribosomal RNA", at positions 338 to 795 of the family's 1533-position model. The record is from RNAcentral.